RNAcentral lists this ribosomal RNA (464 nucleotides) under uncultured Methylomonas sp. Its description in RNAcentral is "bacterial SSU rRNA". It matches the Rfam family "Bacterial small subunit ribosomal RNA", at positions 338 to 795 of the family's 1533-position model. Lineage: Bacteria; Pseudomonadati; Pseudomonadota; Gammaproteobacteria; Methylococcales; Methylococcaceae. The record is from RNAcentral.
CCUACGGGGGGCUGCAGUGGGGAAUAUUGGACAAUGGGCGAAAGCCUGAUCCAGCAAUACCGCGUGUGUGAAGAAGGCCUGAGGGUUGUAAAGCACUUUCAAUAGGAAGGAAUACCUACCGGCCAAUACCCGGUAGACUGACAUUACCUAUACAAGAAGCACCGGCUAACUCCGUGCCAGCAGCCGCGGUAAUACGGAGGGUGCAAGCGUUAAUCGGAAUUACUGGGCGUAAAGCGUGCGUAGGCGGUUGUUUAAGUCAGAUGUGAAAGCCCUGGGCUUAACCUGGGAACUGCAUUUGAUACUGGGCAACUAGAGUUUAGUAGAGGGGAGUGGAAUUUCAGGUGUAGCGGUGAAAUGCGUAGAGAUCUGAAGGAACACCAGUGGCGAAGGCGGCUCCCUGGACUAAAACUGACGCUGAGGUACGAAAGCGUGGGUAGCAAACAGGCUUAGAUACCCUUGUAGUC